RNAcentral lists this long non-coding RNA (520 nucleotides) under Lathyrus oleraceus (garden pea). Its description in RNAcentral is "Pisum sativum (pea) long non-coding RNA (PSAT_LNC022024)". The record is from RNAcentral. Lineage: Eukaryota; Viridiplantae; Streptophyta; Magnoliopsida; Fabales; Fabaceae.
AUGUGUAGAUUCUCUCAUUUAUAAAUGUUCAAGUCUCCACACUUUUAAUCAAUAUAGAACUUCUCCAAACUACUAACAUUUAUUAUUCUUAAUAAUUUUAAGUUUGUCAAAGAAAUUGAAUGGUGAAAAAUCAUAAAUCAAAUUGAGGGAAAGUAUAAGAGUACCAGAUUACAACGUACAAAUAAAUUUAUAUAUAACAUGUAACAACAUUAUUUCUUCAAUUUAAUUGUUACACUUAUUUUGAUAAGCUUUAAUUGUUACACCUACACACACUCACAAAAACGAUUGGUGCAAAUAGCAAAUAAAGGAGGUUUACACAACUUUCCUGGACAAUCCUUGCUUGUUAUGCAGGGAUGUGUAGCUGCAAUGUUUAUAAACAGAUUAAUGUUAUUAAAAAGGGGCUACACACCAAUUUUUAAGUAAAUUGCAUAUUUGAAAAUAUUGUAAAAACUAACUUACUUUUUUCGGCUGAAGCAAGAACCAGAGAAAGAAAGAUGAUCAAUGCAAAACAAAAAUAUUG